Molecule: ribosomal RNA, 560 nt
Filed under: uncultured bacterium
Lineage: Bacteria
Description: bacterial SSU rRNA
Rfam family: Bacterial small subunit ribosomal RNA
Source: RNAcentral
ACGGGUGAGUAACACGUGGGCAACCUGCCCUUGAGACUGGGAUAACUUCGGGAAACCGGAGCUAAUACCGGAUAAUAUAAGGAACCUCCUGGUUCCUUGUUGAAAGAUGGUUUCGGCUAUCACUUAAGGAUGGGCCCGCGGCGCAUUAGCUAGUCGGUGAGGUAACGGCUCACCAAGGCGACGAUGCGUAGCCGACCUGAGAGGGUGAUCGGCCACACUGGGACUGAGACACGGCCCAGACUCCUACGGGAGGCAGCAGUAGGGAAUCUUCCACAAUGGACGAAAGUCUGAUGGAGCAACGCCGCGUGAGUGAUGAAGGCCUUCGGGUCGUAAAGCUCUGUUGUUAGGGAAGAACAAGUGCGAGAGUAACUGCUCGCACCUUGACGGUACCUAACCAGAAAGCCACGGCUAACUACGUGCCAGCAGCCGCGGUAAUACGUAGGUGGCAAGCGUUAUCCGGAAUUAUUGGGCGUAAAGCGCGCGCAGGUGGUUUCUUAAGUCUGAUGUGAAAGCCCACGGCUCAACCGUGGAGGGUCAUUGGAAACUGGGGAACUUGAGUG